RNAcentral lists this long non-coding RNA (1404 nucleotides) under Oryctolagus cuniculus (rabbit). RNAcentral's name for it is "lncRNA (ENSOCUG00000038856.1)". Lineage: Eukaryota; Metazoa; Chordata; Mammalia; Lagomorpha; Leporidae. The record is from RNAcentral.
UGGUAUGUUUCUAGCUCUACCAUUAGGGGUAAGUCCGAUUGAGCAUUUGCCGAACUGUACAUCUCCUCCUUCUCUUAUUCUCACUCCUAUAUUUAACAGGGAUCACUUUUCAGUUAAAUUUAAAUGCUUAAGAAUAAUUGUGUUAAUUAAAGAGUUCAACCAAGAACAAUAAAAUACUAAAAGGAAUAAGUAUUUUAUCUUCUAAUUCAUGAGCAUGGUAUAUCUCUCCAUGAAGUUAUUUCUAAAUUUCUCUCUACAAGUUUAUUUUGAACUCAUAAAUUUUUUUCCAACAGAUUUGUUUCUAAUAUUUAAUAAUUUUUGAUGAUUUUAUAAGUAGGAUUUCAAAAUUUUCCAACUGUUCACUAGUACUAAAAAAAUUAAACUGCUUUUUGUAUAUUGGCUUUGCUAAAUGGGUUCUGUAAGAUUCUUUACAUAGGCAAUCCUAGUAUCUGCAAACUACAAUGGCUCUACUUCUUCUAGAAUAUUCAAGUGAUAUGCAUCCUUACUGUACUGGUUAGGACUUCUAGCAUAAUACUGAACAGAAGUGGUGAGAGUGAUUUUCCUUUCUUUGCACCUUGUCCUAGGGGAAAGGUUUAAUGUUUUCUCUUUUAGAAUGGUAGUAGCAGGAUGUUUCUUAUAGAUUUCCUUUAUCAGACUGAAGUUAUCCUCUCUUCCCAGUUACCCAGAGAUUUUUGCCUUCCCCCACCCAUGGCCAACUGCUUUUUCAGGAUUUUGGUGAGAUGAUCAUGUAAUUUUCAGACAUUAAACCAAUCCUGUACUUUUGGUACACACUUGUAGUAGUCAGCUUUUUGCUACCAUAAUACAAUAGCUAAGAUAGGCUGCUUGUGAAGUAAAGAGAGAUUUAUUUAGUUCACAGUUUUGGAGAUUUAAAGUCUAAAUGUCAGGGUACAGGCUUUGGUUCUGGCAAGGAGCCCAUGGCUGGUGGUGCUGGUGGAAUUCAUGCACAGGGAGGAUUAUAUGGAGGGCUCUUCCUGCCCUGGGCUGGGAAACCUCCGUCUGGGAGGAGGUGACCCCCAUCCCCGCCGUCUGACCCGACCCCGACUGGGGACACUUCCGUGGCACGCUGGAGUCCCUGUCCCAGGCCACGAUGCUGGUCAACACUCCAAGGCGACCGGUAAGGAGCUCCCCACACGACUCAGACACAGAAGUAUGUGCUGCUCCAGAAUUCACUUUCCCACCAAGGGCGGGGCUGUUGCGGCAGCGCAGGGCAUGGUGGGAAAGGCCAGUGUCAGCCAAACAAGCUUCCAGGGGCUGCCGGAUAGUGCAGCACGCGAGGCGCUGCUUGGGACACUGGCGUCCCGUGUUGAGUGCCUGGGUUCGAGUCCUGGCUUCACUCCUGAUGCCAGCUUCCUGCUCAUGUGCCCUCUGGGAGGCAGCAGGUGA